Molecule: long non-coding RNA, 1086 nt
Filed under: Pan troglodytes (chimpanzee)
Lineage: Eukaryota; Metazoa; Chordata; Mammalia; Primates; Hominidae
Description: long non-coding RNA NONPTRT010377
Source: RNAcentral
UCCAAGGCUGGGCACACCAGUGGAGCCAGUAAAAGCAUCUAGUGUUCAAUGGCAGAGGCAUUCAUGUUCUCCCUGUCCAGUCUUGCCAUUUGAUAUUUGUCCCAGGCCUAGUUCUUAGCCCUCCUGGACUCCAUGAGCUACCCUUUUAAUUCACCUCCUGUAUUAGUCUGCUUUCACACUGCUAAUAAAGACAUACUUGAGAAUGGGUAGUUUAUAAAUACUUUAAGUCAAAAGAACGAUUGUAAAAAUGAGAGCCUCCCAGUACUCAGCACUCUCUAUGUGCAAGGCCAUAUCUAGCUACAUAGGUGCCUGGGAAGGCUAAUAUCAAAUGGCUCAGCAAUAUGGUGCCUUUCAAACCAACAGUCUUUAAAUAUAUGUCCAAAAUUUACAGUCUAGUGGCCUUUCAAAGGUGACAACUCAUUUCUCCCCCCCCCACCCCCCACACACUCACAUCUCUAGCUAGAAUAUAUUCAAAGGGAGAGGUGAUUGAUGGUUCCCAAGUGGAGAUGGUUCUUUUCAGGACUGCCCUGGCUGCUACUCUGAGUUGGUUUCAGGAACUACAGCCUUGCCGGGGGAGGGAAAACAGCAUUUUAAAUUGAAUUAAUUAAUUCAAGAAACAUGUACUGAGUAUAUCUUACAUGUCAGGCACUCUGCUAGGGAUUUGGAAUUCUACAGUGAACACAAUAUGGUCCUUUUUCUCUAGGAGACAGAUUCACAGACAGGCAGGUGCUGAACAGUGAGAAAAGCUCUUUGAUGGUGAGAGCAUUCAAUUGGGAAAGGCCUGCAAUCAAGACUGGUAUAGGAGGAAAGCAUGCAAGGAAGGCUUCCUGGAGGAAGCAGCAUUUAGGCUAAAGGCUGUAUAUAAACAGAAGUUUGCCAGGCAAAAGGUGAUCCAGAAAGAAGGAACACAGAAGCCCAGGGAGCACCCCAGCCUCUCCCUUAAGCCUGCCUCAGGCAGGGCUGCAUCUUCUGGGAGCCCUCCUUACACUUCAGCCCUCAAGGCAGCCCAGUGGCCAGGAGCACAACCUUCAAUGUAAAUCACCAAAAUCCUCAAAGCUCUCUCUCUGGGCUGUUCCAGGCUUGGGG